UAUUGCACAAUGGGGGAAACCCUGAUGCAGCAACGCCGCGUGAGUGAAGAAGUAUUUCGGUGUGUAAAGCUCUAUCAGCAGGGAAGAANAAAGACGGUACCUGACUAAGAAGCUCCGGCUAACUACGUGCCAGCAGCCGCGGUAAUACGUAGGGAGCAAGCGUUAUCCGGAAUUAUUGGGUGUAAAGGGUGCGUAGACGGGACAGCAAGUUAGUUGUGAAGGCCCUCGGCUUAACUGAGGAACUGCAACUAAAACUAUUGUUCUUGAGUGCAGGAGAGGAAAGCGGAAUUCCUAGUGUAGCGGUGAAAUGCGUAGAUAUUAGGAGGAACACCAGUGGCGAAGGCGGCUUUCUGGACUGUAACUGACGUUGAGGCACGAAAGUGUGGGGAGCAAACAGG
RNAcentral lists this ribosomal RNA (398 nucleotides) under uncultured bacterium. Its description in RNAcentral is "bacterial SSU rRNA". It matches the Rfam family "Bacterial small subunit ribosomal RNA", at positions 362 to 776 of the family's 1533-position model. The record is from RNAcentral.